Molecule: ribosomal RNA, 401 nt
Filed under: symbiont of Sitobion avenae
Lineage: Bacteria; Pseudomonadati; Pseudomonadota; Gammaproteobacteria; Enterobacterales; Enterobacteriaceae
Description: bacterial SSU rRNA
Rfam family: Bacterial small subunit ribosomal RNA
Source: RNAcentral
CUACUCUUGACAUCCACGGAAUUGUGCAGAGAUGCGCAAGUGCCUUCGGGAACCGUGAGACAGGUGCUGCAUGGCUGUCGUCAGCUCGUGUUGUGAAAUGUUGGGUUAAGUCCCGCAACGAGCGCAACCCUUGUCCUUUGUUGCCAGCGCGUAGAGGCGGGAACUCAAAGGAGACUGCCGGUGAUAAACCGGAGGAAGGUGGGGACGACGUCAAGUCAUCAUGGCCCUUACGACCAGGGCUACACACGUGCUACAAUGGUUUAUACAAAGAGAAGCAAAUCUGUAAAGACAAGCAAACCUCAUAAAGUAAAUCGUAGUCCGGACUGGAGUCUGCAACUCGACUCCACGAAGUCGGAAUCGCUAGUAAUCGUGGAUCAGAAUGCCACGGUGAAUACGUUCCC